GACGAACGCUGGCGGCGUGCCUAACACAUGCAAGUCGAACGGAGAUAUGAUUUCGGUUGUAUCUUAGUGGCGAACGGGUGAGUAACGCGUGAACAACCUGACUCUAAGAGGGGGAUAACACUCGGAAACGGGUGCUAAUACCGCAUAAGACCACGACCUGGCAUCAGGAUGAGGUCAAAGGAGCAAUCCGCUGAGAGAGGGGUUCGCGUCCCAUUAGAUAGAUGGCGGGGUAACGGCCCACCAUGUCAACGAUGGUAGCCGAGCUGAGAGGCUGAUCGGCCACACUGGAACUGAGACACGGUCCAGACUCCUACGGAGGCAGCAGUGGGGAAUAUUGGGCAAUGGGCGCAAGCCUGACCCAGCAACGCCGCGUGAGGGAAGAAGGCUUUCGGGUUGUAAACCUCUGUCCUUGGUGACGAAACAAAUGACGGUAGCCAAGGAGGAAGCCCCGGCUAACUACGUGCCAGCAG
RNAcentral lists this ribosomal RNA (470 nucleotides) under uncultured bacterium. RNAcentral describes it as "bacterial SSU rRNA". It matches the Rfam family "Bacterial small subunit ribosomal RNA", at positions 28 to 514 of the family's 1533-position model. The record is from RNAcentral.